AGUAGUUUAAUUUUAAGAGUAGUGCUUUCAUACUUGUUAUUUCGAUACCGUUCAUUCAUUCCUAUUGUAUAGCUCAGAUUUUAAUUUUUUUUUUUAAGUUGUGAUCUACAGUAGCAUGUCAUUUUGAGAAAAGUACCGGUUAACAGAUAUCGCAAAGUGGAAUAUUUUUAUUUUUUAACACGUGGGUAAUUAAAUAAUUUUACCUCCGCUAUAUUAUUAAACUCUCUUUUCUUUCUUUUUUCUCUCUCUACCUUAAUUUCCUCAGAGAUCCACAUAUAUUUCAUUACAAAUAGUCUAGAUUUGUUCCAU
This 309-nucleotide long non-coding RNA is filed under the name Ananas comosus (pineapple). RNAcentral describes it as "long non-coding RNA (ACOM_LNC029750)". The record is from RNAcentral. Lineage: Eukaryota; Viridiplantae; Streptophyta; Magnoliopsida; Poales; Bromeliaceae.